RNAcentral lists this ribosomal RNA (3029 nucleotides) under Salmonella enterica subsp. enterica serovar Minnesota str. ATCC 49284. Its description in RNAcentral is "bacterial LSU rRNA". It matches the Rfam family "Bacterial large subunit ribosomal RNA". The record is from RNAcentral. Lineage: Bacteria; Pseudomonadati; Pseudomonadota; Gammaproteobacteria; Enterobacterales; Enterobacteriaceae.
GGGUUGUGAGGUUAAGCGACUAAGCGUACACGGUGGAUGCCCUGGCAGUCAGAGGCGAUGAAGGGCGUGCUAAUCUGCGAUAAGCGCCGGUAAGGUGAUAUGAACCGUUAUAACCGGCGAUACCCGAAUGGGGAAACCCAGUGUGACUCGUCACACUAUCAUUAACUGAAUCCAUAGGUUAAUGAGGCGAACCGGGGGAACUGAAACAUCUAAGUACCCCGAGGAAAAGAAAUCAACCGAGAUUCCCCCAGUAGCGGCGAGCGAACGGGGAGGAGCCCAGAGCCUGAAUCAGCAUGUGUGUUAGUGGAAGCGUCUGGAAAGGCGCGCGAUACAGGGUGACAGCCCCGUACACAAAAGCGCAUGUGCUGUGAGCUCGAUGAGUAGGGCGGGACACGUGGUAUCCUGUCUGAAUAUGGGGGGACCAUCCUCCAAGGCUAAAUACUCCUGACUGACCGAUAGUGAACCAGUACCGUGAGGGAAAGGCGAAAAGAACCCCGGCGAGGGGAGUGAAAAAGAACCUGAAACCGUGUACGUACAAGCAGUGGGAGCCCCACCACCAAAGCAUUCUCUGGUGUUGAAGGCCCUGCAAAGCAGCAUCGCGGUGGCGGAGCGUCGUUUGCGACGCCCAACACACAAAACAAGCGGUGAGUGCUUUGGGGUGGGGUGACUGCGUACCUUUUGUAUAAUGGGUCAGCGACUUAUAUUCUGUAGCAAGGUUAACCGAAUAGGGGAGCCGGAGGGAAACCGAGUCUUAACCGGGCGUUAAGUUGCAGGGUAUAGACCCGAAACCCGGUGAUCUAGCCAUGGGCAGGUUGAAGGUUGGGUAACACUAACUGGAGGACCGAACCGACUAAUGUUGAAAAAUUAGCGGAUGACCUGUGGCUGGGGGUGAAAGGCCAAUCAAACCGGGAGAUAGCUGGUUCUCCCCGAAAGCUAUUUAGGUAGCGCCUCGUGAAUUCAUCUCCGGGGGUAGAGCACUGUUUCGGCUAGGGGGCCAUCCCGGCUUACCAACCCGAUGCAAACUGCGAAUACCGGAGAAUGUUAUCACGGGAGACACACGGCGGGUGCUAACGUCCGUCGUGAAGAGGGAAACAACCCAGACCGCCAGCUAAGGUCCCAAAGUCAUGGUUAAGUGGGAAACGAUGUGGGAAGGCCCAGACAGCCAGGAUGUUGGCUUAGAAGCAGCCAUCAUUUAAAGAAAGCGUAAUAGCUCACUGGUCGAGUCGGCCUGCGCGGAAGAUGUAACGGGGCUAAACCAUGCACCGAAGCUGCGGCAGCGACACUCAGGUGUUGUUGGGUAGGGGAGCGUUCUGUAAGCCUGCGAAGGUGGCCUGUGAGGGUUGCUGGAGGUAUCAGAAGUGCGAAUGCUGACAUAAGUAACGAUAAAGCGGGUGAAAAGCCCGCUCGCCGGAAGACCAAGGGUUCCUGUCCAACGUUAAUCGGGGCAGGGUGAGUCGACCCCUAAGGCGAGGCCGAAAGGCGUAGUCGAUGGGAAACGGGUUAAUAUUCCCGUACUUGGUGUUACUGCGAAGGGGGGACGGAGAAGGCUAUGUUGGCCGGGCGACGGUUGUCCCGGUUUAAGCGUGUAGGUGUGUGUUCCAGGUAAAUCCGGUUCACUUUAACACUGAGGCGUGACGACGAGGCACUACGGUGCUGAAGCAACAAAUGCCCUGCUUCCAGGAAAAGCCUCUAAGCAUCAGGUAACAUCAAAUCGUACCCCAAACCGACACAGGUGGUCAGGUAGAGAAUACCAAGGCGCUUGAGAGAACUCGGGUGAAGGAACUAGGCAAAAUGGUGCCGUAACUUCGGGAGAAGGCACGCUGACACGUAGGUGAAGUGAUUUACUCAUGGAGCUGAAGUCAGUCGAAGAUACCAGCUGGCUGCAACUGUUUAUUAAAAACACAGCACUGUGCAAACACGAAAGUGGACGUAUACGGUGUGACGCCUGCCCGGUGCCGGAAGGUUAAUUGAUGGGGUCAGCGCAAGCGAAGCUCCUGAUCGAAGCCCCGGUAAACGGCGGCCGUAACUAUAACGGUCCUAAGGUAGCGAAAUUCCUUGUCGGGUAAGUUCCGACCUGCACGAAUGGCGUAAUGAUGGCCAGGCUGUCUCCACCCGAGACUCAGUGAAAUUGAACUCGCUGUGAAGAUGCAGUGUACCCGCGGCAAGACGGAAAGACCCCGUGAACCUUUACUAUAGCUUGACACUGAACAUUGAGCCUUGAUGUGUAGGAUAGGUGGGAGGCUUUGAAGUGUGGACGCCAGUCUGCAUGGAGCCGGCCUUGAAAUACCACCCUUUAAUGUUUGAUGUUCUAACGUGGACCCGUGAUCCGGGUUGCGGACAGUGUCUGGUGGGUAGUUUGACUGGGGCGGUCUCCUCCUAAAGAGUAACGGAGGAGCACGAAGGUUGGCUAAUCCUGGUCGGACAUCAGGAGGUUAGUGCAAUGGCAUAAGCCAGCUUGACUGCGAGCGUGACGGCGCGAGCAGGUGCGAAAGCAGGUCAUAGUGAUCCGGUGGUUCUGAAUGGAAGGGCCAUCGCUCAACGGAUAAAAGGUACUCCGGGGAUAACAGGCUGAUACCGCCCAAGAGUUCAUAUCGACGGCGGUGUUUGGCACCUCGAUGUCGGCUCAUCACAUCCUGGGGCUGAAGUAGGUCCCAAGGGUAUGGCUGUUCGCCAUUUAAAGUGGUACGCGAGCUGGGUUUAGAACGUCGUGAGACAGUUCGGUCCCUAUCUGCCGUGGGCGCUGGAGAACUGAGGGGGGCUGCUCCUAGUACGAGAGGACCGGAGUGGACGCAUCACUGGUGUUCGGGUUGUCAUGCCAAUGGCACUGCCCGGUAGCUAAAUGCGGAAGAGAUAAGUGCUGAAAGCAUCUAAGCACGAAACUUGCCCCGAGAUGAGUUCUCCCUGAGACUUUAGGUCUCCUGAAGGAACGUUGAAGACGACGACGUUGAUAGGCCGGGUGUGUAAGCGCAGCGAUGCGUUGAGCUAACCGGUACUAAUGAACCGUGAGGCUUAACCUUACAACGCCGAAG